CUGGCUCAGGACGAACGCUGGCGGCGUGCCUAAUACAUGCAAGUAGAACGCUGAAGGAGGGAGCUUGCUUCUUCUGGAUGAGUUGCGAACGGGUGAGUAACGCGUAGGUAACCUGCCUGAUAGCGGGGGAUAACUAUUGGAAACGAUAGCUAAUACCGCAUAAGAGGUAAUAACACAUGUUAUUAGUUUAAAAGGGGCAACUGCUCCACUAUCAGAUGGACCUGCGUUGUAUUAGCUAGUUGGUAAGGUAACGGCUUACCAAGGCGACGAUACAUAGCCGACCUGAGAGGGUGAUCGGCCACACUGGGACUGAGACACGGCCCAGACUCCUACGGGAGGCAGCAGUAGGGAAUCUUCGGCAAUGGGGGCAACCCUGACCGAGCAACGCCGCGUGAGUGAAGAAGGUUUUCGGAUCGUAAAGCUCUGUUGUAAGAGAAGAACGGAUGUGGGAGUGGAAAAUCCAUGUCGUGACGGUAUCUUACCAGAAAGGGACGGCUAACUACGUGCCAGCAGCCGCGGUAAUACGUAGGUCCCGAGCGUUGUCCGGAUUUAUUGGGCGUAAAGCGAGCGCAGGCGGUUUCAUAAGUCUGAAGUUAAAGGCAGUGGCUUAACCAUUGUACGCUUUGGAAACUGUGAGGCUUGAGUGCAGAAGGGGAGAGUGGAAUUCCAUGUGUAGCGGUGAAAUGCGUAGAUAUAUGGAGGAACACCGGUGGCGAAAGCGGCUCUCUGGUCUGUAACUGACGCUGAGGCUCGAAAGCGUGGGGAGCAAACAGGAUUAGAUACCCUGGUAGUCCACGCCGUAAACGAUGAGUGCUAGGUGUUGGGUCCUUUCCGGGACUCAGUGCCGCAGCUAACGCAUUAAGCACUCCGCCUGGGGAGUACGACCGCAAGGUUGAAACUCAAAGGAAUUGACGGGGGCCCGCACAAGCGGUGGAGCAUGUGGUUUAAUUCGAAGCAACGCGAAGAACCUUACCAGGUCUUGACAUCCCGAUGCCCGCUCUAGAGAUAGAGUUUUUCUUCGGAACAUCGGUGACAGGUGGUGCAUGGUUGUCGUCAGCUCGUGUCGUGAGAUGUUGGGUUAAGUCCCGCAACGAGCGCAACCCUUAUUGUUAGUUGCCAUCAUUCAGUUGGGCACUCUAGCGAGACUGCCGGUAAUAAACCGGAGGAAGGUGGGGAUGACGUCAAAUCAUCAUGCCCCUUAUGACCUGGGCUACACACGUGCUACAAUGGCUGGUACAACGAGUCGCAAGUCGGUGACGGCAAGCUAAUCUCUUAAAGCCAGUCUCAGUUCGGAUUGUAGGCUGCAACUCGCCUACAUGAAGUCGGAAUCGCUAGUAAUCGCGGAUCAGCACGCCGCGGUGAAUACGUUCCCGGGCCUUGUACACACCGCCCGUCACACCACGAGAGUUUGUAACACCCGAAGUCGGUGGGGUAACC
This 1437-nucleotide ribosomal RNA is filed under the name uncultured bacterium. RNAcentral's name for it is "16S ribosomal RNA". It matches the Rfam family "Bacterial small subunit ribosomal RNA". The record is from RNAcentral.